GCUUGCUCUGUGGGAUCAGUGGCGAACGGGUGAGUAACACGUGAGCAACCUGCCCCUGACUCUGGGAUAAGCGCUGGAAACGGCGUCUAAUACUGGAUAUGUGACGUGACCGCAUGGUCUGCGUCUGGAAAGAUUUUUCGGUUGGGGAUGGGCUCGCGGCCUAUCAGCUUGUUGGUGAGGUAAUGGCUCACCAAGGCGUCGACGGGUAGCCGGCCUGAGAGGGUGACCGGCCACACUGGGACUGAGACACGGCCCAGACUCCUACGGGAGGCAGCAGUGGGGAAUAUUGCACAAUGGGCGCAAGCCUGAUGCAGCAACGCCGCGUGAGGGAUGACGGCCUUCGGGUUGUAAACCUCUUUUAGCAGGGAAGAAGCGAAAGUGACGGUACCUGCAGAAAAAGCGCCGGCUAACUACGUGCCAGCAGCCGCGGUAAUACGUAGGGCGCAAGCGUUAUCCGGAAUUAUUGGGCGUAAAGAGCUCGUAGGCGGUUUGUCGCGUCUGCUGUGAAAUCCGGAGGCUCAACCUCCGGCCUGCAGUGGGUACGGGCAGACUAGAGUGCGGUAGGGGAGAUUGGAAUUCCUGGUGUAGCGGUGGAAUGCGCAGAUAUCAGGAGGAACACCGAUGGCGAAGGCAGAUCUCUGGGCCGUAACUGACGCUGAGGAGCGAAAGGGUGGGGAGCAAACAGGCUUAGAUACCCUGGUAGUCCACCCCGUAAACGUUGGGAACUAGUUGUGGGGUCCAUUCCACGGAUUCCGUGACGCAGCUAACGCAUUAAGUUCCCCGCCUGGGGAGUACGGCCGCAAGGCUAAAACUCAAAGGAAUUGACGGGGACCCGCACAAGCGGCGGAGCAUGCGGAUUAAUUCGAUGCAACGCGAAGAACCUUACCAAGGCUUGACAUAUA
Molecule: ribosomal RNA, 902 nt
Filed under: Microbacterium maritypicum
Lineage: Bacteria; Bacillati; Actinomycetota; Actinomycetes; Micrococcales; Microbacteriaceae
Description: bacterial SSU rRNA
Rfam family: Bacterial small subunit ribosomal RNA
Source: RNAcentral